This 435-nucleotide ribosomal RNA is filed under the name uncultured bacterium. RNAcentral's name for it is "bacterial SSU rRNA". It matches the Rfam family "Bacterial small subunit ribosomal RNA", at positions 98 to 532 of the family's 1533-position model. The record is from RNAcentral.
GCGCACGGGUGAGUAACGCGUACACGACCUACCUCUAACAGGGGGAUAGCCCUGGGAAACUGGGAUUAAUACCGCAUAUAAUUUUGAUUUUAAAAGUUCAAAAUGAAAGUUCAGGCGGUUAGAGAUGGGUGUGCGUCUGAUUAGCUAGUUGGUAAGGUAACGGCUUACCAAGGCGAUGAUCAGUAGGGGGCGUGAGAGCGUGGUCCCCCACACGGGUACUGAGACACGGACCCGACUCCUACGGGAGGCAGCAGUAAGGAAUAUUGGUCAAUGGGCGCAAGCCUGAACCAGCCAUCCAGCGUGCAGGAAGAAGGCCCUACGGGUUGUAAACUGCUUUUGUCAGGGAAGAAACCUUUGGAUUUACUCCGAAGCUGACGGUACCUGAAGAAUAAGCACCGGCUAACUCCGUGCCAGCAGCCGCGGUAAUACGGAGGG